Molecule: ribosomal RNA, 446 nt
Filed under: uncultured bacterium
Lineage: Bacteria
Description: bacterial SSU rRNA
Rfam family: Bacterial small subunit ribosomal RNA
Source: RNAcentral
UGCCAGACUCCUACGGGAGGCAGCAGUGGGGAAUAUUGCACAAUGGGGGAAACCCUGAUGCAGCGACGCCGCGUGAGCGAUGAAGUAUUUCGGUAUGUAAAGCUCUCUCAGCAGGGAAGAAAAUGACGGUACCUGACUAAGAAGCCCCGGCUAACUACGUGCCAGCAGCCGCGGUAAUACGUAGGGGGCAAGCGUUAUCCGGAUUUACUGGGUGUAAAGGGAGCGUAGACGGCUGUGCAAGCCAGAUGUGAAAGCCCGGGGCUCAACCCCGGGACUGCAUUUGGAACUGUGUGGCUGGAGUGUCGGAGAGGCAGGCGGAAUUCCUAGUGUAGCGGUGAAAUGCGUAGAUAUUAGGAGGAACACCAGUGGCGAAGGCGGCCUGCUGGACGAUGACUGACGUUGAGGCUCGAAAGCGUGGGGAGCAAACAGGAUUAGAUACCCCUGUA